UAACUCUCAAAACAACGAUGCUUUAAUCAAAUAGCUUAAAUUCGCUCUGAAAUCCGUGAGGGAACAACAAAAUUCGGCCAAAAUAUAUCCGCGUGCCGGGUUUGCUGUGCAAAAAGCGGAAGUCGUUGGAACAACUCAAGAUACACUCAACCCUGAUUGGAUAACGAAUAUCAACAAACAUUUCAAUUUUUUUUAACAAACACAAUGUGAAAUACAAUUUAUUAUACAUAUUAACGUACUACAGUAAUAUUUACAUGCAGUA
Molecule: non-coding RNA, 262 nt
Organism: Paramuricea clavata
Lineage: Eukaryota; Metazoa; Cnidaria; Anthozoa; Malacalcyonacea; Plexauridae
Source: the annotation of a GenBank genome assembly